GACGAACGCUGGCGGCGUGCUUAACACAUGCAAGUCGAACGGUGACGAGGAGCUUGCUCCUCUGAUCAGUGGCGAACGGGUGAGUAACACGUGAGCAACCUACCUUUUGCAGGGAAUAACUCUGGGAAACCAGAGCUAAUACCGCAUGCCGUGCGCUUGGGGCAUCCCAGGUGCAUGAAAGGAGCAAUCCGGCAGAAGAUGGGCUCGCGUCCGAUUAGGUAGUUGGAGAGGUAACGGCUCCCCAAGCCGACGAUCGGUAGCCGGACUGAGAGGAUGAUCCGCCACACUGGAACUGAGACACGGUCCAGACUCCUACGGGAGGCAGCAGUGGGGAAUUUUGGACAAUGGGGGCAACCCUGAUCCAGCCAUGCCGCGUGAGUGAAGAAGGCCUUCGGGUUGUAAAGCUCUUUCGGCCGGGAAGAAAUCGCAUGGGUUAAUACCCUGUGCGGAUGACGGUACCGGCAUAAGAAGCACCGGCUAACUACGUG
RNAcentral lists this ribosomal RNA (488 nucleotides) under uncultured bacterium. Its description in RNAcentral is "bacterial SSU rRNA". It matches the Rfam family "Bacterial small subunit ribosomal RNA", at positions 28 to 507 of the family's 1533-position model. The record is from RNAcentral.